This 424-nucleotide long non-coding RNA is filed under the name Mytilus galloprovincialis (Mediterranean mussel). Lineage: Eukaryota; Metazoa; Mollusca; Bivalvia; Mytilida; Mytilidae. The record is from RNAcentral.
GUUGUGUACAAGUUGUAAUGUUGUACAAAUUACAAUUUGUACAGAUUUUUUGUUCAAGUUAUCAGUGUUUUAUGACCUGCUGAACACAAAUGGAUGAUGCAAGCACACAGUCUUUUGCUUCGCAUAUUUCUGUCAUAUUUUCACAACUUCAUGAUACAGUCUAAUACUGUGCAUUGAUACAAAAACAUUAUAAGACCACACAAAUAUUUUGUAUGAAUAUUGAAUAUUGUAUAAGGAAAAAAAUAAAAUUAGAAUUUAAACCAUUCAGGUAUCCUCAUUUCCAGUUUAAAGACAAGGAGAAUUGCACUAAAUUUUAGGUUGAAGUAUAUUUUUUGGAAUUUAAAAUAUAACACUAGUACAUUUUAUAAGAUAAACCUGUAUCACCUGUUGCAAGAAGGUAUGUGUCAAAAAACUUAUAACUUGU